GACGAACGCUGGCGGCGUGCUUAACACGUGCAAGUCGAACGGUGAAGCGCCUUCCUUUUUGGUGGGUGUGGAUGGGUGGCGAACGGGUGAGUAACACGUGAGUAACCUGCCCCCUUCUUCUGGAUAACCGCAUGAAAGUGUGGCUAAUACGGGAUAUUCUGGGUCUGUCGCAUGAUGGGUCUGGGAAAGAUAUUGUUUCGGUGGGGGAUGGGCUCGCGGCCUAUCAGCUUGUUGGUGGGGUGAUGGCCUACCAAGGCGGUGACGGGUAGCCGGCCUGAGAGGGUGGACGGUCACACUGGGACUGAGGCACGGCCCAGACUCCUACGGGAGGCAGCAGUGGGGAAUAUUGCACAGUGGGCGCAAGCCUGAUGCAGCGACGCCGCGUGAGGGAUGGAGGCCUUCGGGUUGUGAACCUCUUUCGCCAGUGAAGCAGGCCUGCCUCGUUUGUGGGUGGGUUGACGGUAGCUGGAUAAGAAGCGCCGGCUAACUACGUG
Molecule: ribosomal RNA, 494 nt
Filed under: uncultured bacterium
Lineage: Bacteria
Description: partial 16S ribosomal RNA
Rfam family: Bacterial small subunit ribosomal RNA
Source: RNAcentral